CGAUGUUCUCAGGGCGGGGUGAAAGUCCCCACCGGCGGUAAGGGCCGAAAGGCCUAAGCCCGCGAGCGCCUUCCCCAAGGUUUCUUGCCAAGGGGAGGGGUCAGCAGAUUCGGUGCGACUCCGAAGCCGACGGUUAAAGUCCGGAUGAAAGAGAACGGUC
Molecule: non-coding RNA, 160 nt
Filed under: Bradyrhizobium sp.
Lineage: Bacteria; Pseudomonadati; Pseudomonadota; Alphaproteobacteria; Hyphomicrobiales; Nitrobacteraceae
Description: FMN sequence
Rfam family: FMN riboswitch aptamer (RFN element)
About the family: The RFN element is a highly conserved domain that is found frequently in the 5'-untranslated regions of prokaryotic mRNAs that encode for flavin mononucleotide (FMN) biosynthesis and transport proteins. This element is a metabolite-dependent riboswitch that directly binds FMN in the absence of proteins.
Source: RNAcentral